Molecule: ribosomal RNA, 592 nt
Filed under: uncultured bacterium
Lineage: Bacteria
Description: bacterial SSU rRNA
Rfam family: Bacterial small subunit ribosomal RNA
Source: RNAcentral
CCUACGGGAGGCAGCAGUGGGGAAUCUUGCGCAAUGGGCGAAAGCCUGACGCAGCAACGCCGCGUGCGGGAAGAAGGCUCUCGGGUUGUAAACCGCUUUCAGCAGGAACGAAAAUGACGGUACUUGCAGAAGAAGGUGCGGCCAACUACGUGCCAGCAGCCGCGGUGACACGUAGGCACCAAGCGUUGUCCGGAUUUAUUGGGCGUAAAGAGCUCGUAGGCGGUUCGGUAAGUCAGGUGUGAAAACUUUGGGCUCAACCCAAAGCCUGCAUCUGAUACUGCUGUGACUAGAGUUCGGUAGGGGGAGCGGGGAAUUCCUAGUGUAGCGGUGAAAUGCGCAGAUAUUAGGAGGAACACCGGUGGCGAAGGCGCCGCUCUGGGCCGAAACUGACGCUGAGGAGCGAAAGCGUGGGUAGCAAACAGGAUUAGAUACCCUGGUAGUCCACGCCGUAAACGUUGGGCACUAGGUGUGGGUCUCAACCAACGAGAUCCGCGCCGUCGCUAACGCAUUAAGUGCCCGCCUGGGAGUCGGCCGCGAAGGUAAACUCGAAGGGAAUUGACGGCUGAGAGNGCGAGACGACGACGAGGAGAGG